CUUUUUUCUUUCUGCCUCUGUCGUCUCUCUCGCUGGCUUUUUUUUUUUUUUUUUUAAUGAAGAACCGUUCCAUGAACAUUUUGCACAGAGCACAGAAUUGCUUCUAAAGUCAGUCCGGCGCGGUUGCAAUAGACAGCAAAAAGGUAAACGUUUGCCUGAAAUCCGCACGCCAGCUCCACCACCCCGCCCGAUGGUUCUGUAACAAUCAAGAAUGUGUGGACACCUACCUGUGGGAGGAGGCUUUCAGGGACAUUGUGUCUGGUUCCUGCUGACGCCAGCAUUCUGGAGAUGGACAGCUGUUCAAGGGAAUGAAGAUUCCCCCACAGGACAAGGACUAUUGCCUCCCUGAGUAUCCUAAAAGGUCUCUUGAAACAAACCAAACACUCAGAACUUCUGUGACUGUCAUGGACAGUGUCCUGUUACUGGCUUUAAACAGAGCCCCUCAUGCAGAAGAAGCCCUGUAUCCUGGAGUUAGAUGUCAAUCAUCCUGGGAAGGCUCGUCCAAGAACGCAUGCUUAGAAGAAAACUGUUUUAGGCAUCAUCAUCUAUCACGUGGAUGUCUCUGCCCAGUCCUCCCUUUCCACAAUCACCAACAAUGAAGCCCCAACGCGGGGAGUCCCCGAGUAGCCCCCAAUGCACACACCUGCUGCACGACGUGGGAGGAGCUUUUCUGUGGGAGCCGAGGCCACACACAGGACCCUGGGGAAGAACUCCCAAAGAGACUUACUUUUACGGAAGCCUGUGAUCCUUUAAGAAUGACCAACAGUGCAAAUCAAGUCAAAAGACUUAGAUGCUCUCUCCACUACUCCAUCUCCAGCACCUAGAACAGGUAGAGUAUGUAACUGAUGACUGACUGAAUGGCCCUGGGGAGAGAUUCACAAGAUCACUAUGGGGGGGGAGGUGGGCAGAAGGGAAUGUAAGGAUAGGGAGGUGUGUGCCAAGGUGUUGCUGGCAAUGUUGUGUGCAAAAGAAGAUAAGAUCUCUUGUUGACUGUUGUAAAAAGAAGAUGAACGAAGUGUUGUGUUCAAAUGAGUCCAGUUGAGUGUACCACAGACAAUGAUUGACUUCUUCCCAGUCCCUCACGGGGUAGUAUAGUUUGAGAGGUUUACAUUAAGCUUAUCCCCUCAGAGGCCCUCAGAGGAGGCAAUGAAUAGAUUUGCAAGGAAAAACAACAACAACAACAACAACAACAACAACAACAACAAUAAUAACAACAGGGACCCCACAUGCAAUUCAGGGGAAGUACUUUGAAGCAUUUCAAGGAAGACUCUGAGAAAUGAUAAUAAAGUUUAACGGGAAGGAAUAUUAACUGAUAUGAUUUUCUUCCAAGAAGCAAUUUUGGAUAUAAUAUUUCAAGCUCUAAGUUACAAACUCAGUGACUAGACCUUGAAUGCUUUUAUUUGUGUCUUGGGGUUUCUGUUCCUUCAAUUGAAAAAGAAAAUUAUUAAGAUGAUUUUUUUUCCAGAAAGAUUAAUGGGUAUAGCAUUGGCUGACCAGUUUCCAUAAAACUAUAGUAGCAUAGAAUCACCUAGAUUAAGAACUAGGUUUAAAUCCUGGGACGGCUUAGUAAUACCAGUGCUCAAUUAAAAAUUCCGUAGCAUUGAUUUGAUGAAGAAAAACGUCAUGGUAUGACUGCAACUUUCCCUUCCAGUUGUUAUUGGACACGUUAAUGGAGGGAUGUCCUACAUAGGCUUUGGCAGUCAGAAGGCCAGUUCUCAAAUUAAAAUGAAGUUUCAAAUCCGAGCAUAGGGACAAAAUAAUUUACUUGAAGGGUAACAAAGGAGGUUCUUGCCUAAAAAUAAAUGUGAUAGAUUUGGCUUCAAUGUUAGGUGGCACUUCUUUAUAAUUUUUGUAAACCUGAAAUCUUUCAUAAUUCACACAGAUAGAAAUGCUAGCCACUUGAAGGUGAAAAAUGGUACUGUAUUUUAUUUUACAUUCUCAAUGUCUAGCACCUGUUUCUUGGUAUGUAAACAAUCUAUUUAACUGUUUUUGAAAGAGCAGACUAAAAAUAUUUUGUCAAUGUGUGUGUGUGUGUGUGUGUGUGUGUGUGUGUGUGUGUGUGUGUGGUGUAUGCAUGUGUGGUAUAUGUGUACAUAUGUGGGCAGAUGCAGAGGCCACAGGAGGACAUUGGGUGUCAUGUUCUAUCUUUUGAGACAGGACUUCUCAUUGAAUGUGGGGCUAGGCUGACAGUCAUCAAGCCCCAUUCAUUCUCUCUCUCUCUCUCUCUCUCUCUCUCUCUCUCUCUCUCUCUCUCUCUCUCUCGUGCUGAUACACACUGAACUCCUAAUCCAAAUCCAAGUUGUUAAUUUUUGACAGAGUCGCAGAAUGUGAUGUCUUGCUGUGCACACCCUUCCGAUAACGAGCCCAGCAUAAAAAGAAAGCAUGACCCUAGACGUGGAGUGAAUGGAGUGUGCAGGUUCCGACGAGUUCACUGCGGCUCCAGUGGGGAUCGGGCAGGCUCCAAGCACUAAAUAACCCUAAUGAUAUCAGGACUGGUCCUGCUUGCUCCAUCUACACACUGUUGGUUAACAGUGGACCCUCUGACUCUCAUGAGGAUGACUGGACAUGUGACAGAAGACCAGGAGUCCGGGAGGCUGCCCUUUCCUGCUUUAACUUUGUUCUGUCAGAAUUGAUAAGAUUUCGAUUUCCAGUUAAAACCCGCCAUCGGGUGUUCAGCAGGACAGUGAAAGAACGCCCGGCACACUGAACCAACAGUCAGAGGUUGAACCUACCAGCAAAGCUGGCUCUGAUGGACAAACGCUUCCUAGGGCUCCUUCCUGAUGCAGCUGCUAUCUGCAGACCUCCUGGACUGCCCUGGGAAGGGAGUGGGAGCUCCUGCCACAGAUGGGCGGAACAUCGGCAAGAAGGGUUAAAAGUGGCCAAAAAUAACAGUGCCUUCCAGAUGAGGUGACCUCAGAGCCAAGAGCAUCAUGGGCUAGUGGCCUGCCAAUCACAGGACAUCAGCAUGCGCAGAGCCCAGCAUCUUCUCCAGGUUCAGCUUUUACAUCUUCCUUUGGAGGGCCUACUCCGAUCUCAGGACCGCAGGUGAGGUGCUAUCUUUGGUAAGCAUUUUCUCCGUCUAGUCACCACUAAAAGCACUUUUCAUCUGGACCUUUAGUCUCUGAAUACCAACCAGGGUGGAAGUCACCUUUAAUCCUCACAGAGGUUGAGUUUCUUUCCUCUUAGUACAAAGCCACAUAUAUCCACUGUGGAGAAUUUAGAACACACAGAAAAGCAAAAUUAUAUUUGUGUGCACCAUGACUACCCUUUGAUGUGGGCCCUGCUCGAUAUGAUGAUUUUUAUAGACAAAACCCAGCCACACUUAGAUGGGAAAUACUUUCUUCUGAGCUGCUUGCUGGCUGGUAGAACCAGUUCCAUGGAAUGUCAGUGCCAGGCCCCAGCUGAUUGGCAUAGGGCUGGCUAUCGCCCUGGUUGGGCAUGUAUCUGCUCUUUCUUUCAGAUUCAAUCAGAUAGUGUCUGAGACUGGACCUAUAAUAUCUCACUGAGGUAGGAUUAGUCACUGUGCCUGGAAACUUAGCGCUUUGCUGGGGAAGGUGGUUUGUAGGAGAGAAUAGGGGAGACUGUGAGACACUGAGGGAAAGUCAGAGUUAAAGGAAGCAGAACACCACACACCUGGUCCCAGUGUUCUCCGUGACUUUUCUCAGGUGGCCUUGCCUCCGGAUCUUGACUCUGUCCUUGAGCAGUGUCUCUGAGAUGCCGGUACCUGCAUCUAACCAUGCCUGCCCAAGAGGAUUGCUUUUUGUAAACUCCCUUUGCAAUGAAUAAUAGACUUUCUCUGUGUAUCAUCUGAUCAUCCAGAUUAUAAUUUUCAAUAUGGUAGGUCAAGUGCUGUGGGGGGAGGGGCACUGCAGCUAAUGUGAGCAGCUUGAGCUCUGGUUUGGAAUAACACUGAGUUCACAGGCCCUUCCUCAUCUCCUUUGCUGUGUGAUUCAGUCAGCCGAUGAACACUAUUUAUCUCAGUAUUUUCAUCUGUAAAAUGGAAAAUCUCAAGAAAUCUUAGAGUUCCUAGACUUAAACUUGCAGUAUAGCAGAGGGUGACCUUACAUUCCUGACUCUCUUGCCCUCAUGUCCACGACGUGCUGGGUGAUCUGACCUGGUGCUGUUGUUAACAAUCACAAACGGUUCUCUGUCAACAGUCUUCCUAGUUUUAAAACACGACAGUAAGAAUUCUUUCAGAGCUGAGCCUUUAGGCAUUGGUACUCCUUGGGCUGAGUGACCCCCACCCUGAAACACUGGACCAGAGAUCAUGAGCAUGAAAAAUGCCUAAGUGUGGUUCCCGCAUCACUGCUGCCUGUGGAGUGUCUGCUACCCAAGUCUCUGCCAUCCUUAUCCCUGCCCUUUCUGUGGCUUUGGAGAAAGUGCAUUUCCUUCCAUGUCUGCGGUGUGAUCUAUACUCAACUUCCAACGAAACAAAGACUGUCACAUCUGACCUCCGGAGCUCUUUCAGUUCCUCUUUUCCAGAUUCUAAUUAACUUAAAGGAGUGGAGACUAAAGAAAAAAUUCAAUGUGGUCUUAAGGAAAGCUAAGACACAAACUUGUAUUUGAGCACUGCUUCUAUGUACACAGACCAUGAUUUUGUGAGUUACUUGAAUUUUUUGAGGUUCCUUUUAAUCCUCUACUAUUGAAUGAAUAGUGAACUCCAAGCAUUACACUGUACCUGAUGCUCCUGGUUGCACACUAAGGGCUGAAUAGAAGAAGAAUUCUAUUGGCAAUGGAGAGAAGCUGGAAGGGCUUGCACUAAGGAAGAAUUCACAGCUCUCACUAGCAAGAAGUCCAGGAUGAAAAACUUAGAAAUUAUCCCUGUUCUACCUAAAAAGCAGACAUGAGAAUGCUCAAAGCAUCAGCACUAUAGCAGAACUCACCAUAGGAGUUUCUGCUGCCGGAAACAUAUCUAUGUUAUCUGACCUAGACAGACUGAUCUUGUCGUGAGAGAGUGAGGAGAACUAGCAGAUGAAAUGACCAAAGUAUCCCACUCAUCCCCAGAGAACUGUGACUUCAGGAAAUGACUGGAAACCAAAGGUAUGCAAAUACUGCUUUACUUACACAUGUUUCAAAGGUAAAUGUUGGAAACAGAUGAGACACCUGAUAGCCCACUUAAUUAGAUUGGGAACUUAUUGAGGCAGAAUUUAAGAGCUGUUUACAAUGGGAUCUUUUUGACAUUGUGUAGUGGAAGAGGAUUGAGCUAUAGGACAUGGGUUGAGAAGGAAACAGUGGGUAGGGUAGGAAUAGAAACAUUUAGUUUGUUCAUGGUUCAUAAGGGUGUCUUGUCUACUCACUUCUUGCUUUCUAGGGUGAGUGAGUAGCUAGGGAGAGAUGAUGUAUGCCAGGCUUUUAAAGCUGUAGGUGCUCAUGGACUCAAGGGCUCUUGUUAGACUUCUGAUUCAGUAUUUCUGGGCUGGGCCCUGCAUUUCUAAGAGGUUCUUUGAUGCUGUUCUUGUUCCUUGCAUCACACAUUGACUUCAGCCUAUGGGUUAAAAACUAGCAUUAUAAUUAGUUUCUGAAUCAGUAAAUGUGGUGGUUUGAAUGUGCUUGGCCCAGGGAGGAGUGACACUAUUGGGAGGUGUGGCCUUGUUGGAGUAGCUGUGGCCUUGUUGGAGGAAGGGUAUCACUGAGGGGGUGGGUUUUAAGGCCCUCCUCUUAGCUGACUCAGUCUCCAGACUGAGCACAUUUCUCCAUCUCUAGUUGCCUCUGACGUCUGUGGGAAUUUUUCCUCUCUGGGUUGCACAAUCCCAUUGUGAAGUGCACCACUUUCUGUUUGUGCCUCGCUAUGGCAAUAAUUUCCUAUCCAUGUUUUGGAUUGUCCAGAGAAACAAAUUUAGACUACACAUGGACAUUGACUCCUGUUUGCAGGCCACUUCAUCCAUUUGGCCUGGGAAUGCAACACUCUAUGAAGCUUGUCUCAUCUGAGCCUUUCUUUGCUAGAGUAUUUUGUUUGUUUUGCUUUGUUUUCUAUAAUGAAUUUCUUGGAGGAGGAAAUACAACUGAUCUUUUGUUUAUUUAUCUUUUAAAAAGUUGGCCUUUUAAAAAGAUGAGGACUUCUACAGAAAAGUGUCCCAGAUGCUUGGACACGGUGGCACACUCUUCUAUUGCUAGUGCUCUGGAGGAGUACCACAGCAGUUCCUAGCACUUAGUAGGUACUGAAUCAAGGAACCCUGUCUCUAAACAAACAAAUAGCAAAGGAAAAGGUGAAUCAGAAGAAAAGCUAUAACUCAUACUGGCAAAUGAUUUAGAUAUCUGACAGAAGACAUAGAUGGAAGGACAAUGUACCACAGCCACCAAAACCAAGGAGGGUAAGAUCCCUGAUCCUUAAAGGGAAGGCUUUAAUGGAGGCAUACCAUUUAAAACUCAGUGCUCUGAAGUUUCUCACUCUCUGCACUUUUUCUUCUUCUGGGUCUCUGGAUUUGUUCUCAAGAAGCUUCUGCAAGAACCACCUUCUCUGAUGUGGGCUGAGUGAGGUAUUGGUCUACAGGUAUAACAAAAUGUCAUUAACAGCCAUUUAAUUAUUAUAUUCUUUAGCAGCAUUAUAGGGAUUAGGCUUUUCUCUAGACCCAGGACCUAUUUAACCUCAAGUUCUUGACCUCCCAAUCAGUAUAAGAUAUGGGUUCCAUAUGAUGGAGAGGGCCUUAAAUCCAAUCAUAAAUUCAUUGGAUACUUCUGCAAUGUUUGUGCCACUAAUGCACUAGCUUGUCUAGAGCCAGGUCAGUGUCGUAGGCUGCAGGUUGUUUCACCUGGGAGAUAUUGACAAUUUAUCUUUCUCUUCUGGGAGAAUGCAGAGUAUCUUUCACUACUAUGAAUGCUAGUCAGUAGGGAUGAAGCUUCUAGUUAGGUACCCACUCAACUUCUCUGAUAACAACACACUUUUAAGGUAAUACUUGUUAUUAAGCAAUAAAUGGCCUAUUAGCAAACUGAACCCAUUCAUAUAUGUAAAAUGCAAGCAUGUUAUAGGACCACUAGAUACGAUUUAUCACUAGUAUACAAGAGUAAAUUCUAACCAUUACUAGGAUACAACGGUUAGUAUAUCCUAACCAUUACAGCUGUAUAUAUACAAAUUAGCUAAUCAUAACAUGCAUAAAUAAUGGGCAGAUUUGAUUGGUUGUAAUUUAGGUGAUGGUGGCUAGUGGGUGUCAAAACUCAGGAUUCUGGCAGCUUGUAUAUUUCAGUGGUUGGAAGGAAUCAAGGGUAGACAUGGGGGUGGGGAUGGAGUAAUCUAACCUUAGAACAAGACUGUGGAUCUUUGUGCUUAUUGAUUUAUUUCCUGGUUUUUAAAGAAUGUUUCCAUUUUGAAAAUACUUUGAGGAAUUCAUAUAAUGUAUUUUUAAAAUAUUUAUCCUCUACUUCUUCUAACACCUACUCUUGCCUCCCUAUCCACAAUGAACACACACACACACACACACACACACACACACACACACACAUACACACACACAGAGUUCAAUAUCUGUUGUCCAUAUAUUUUUUCAUGGAUGUCCAUCCAUUGGAACAUCAUCCAUCUACCAGGACUGUAUCUUUAAAUAAAAACUACUUUCCCUCUUCCAGGAGCUAUCAGUUCCCAACAGCUCCUCAACUAGGGAUGAAACACAGUGUGCCCAACUCCCCUCUUCAUGCUGAGAUUUUGUUUCCUGGCUUGAGAUUUCAAAGGCCAUGUGCAUGCUAACUAAUGGUUGAGAAGCAUUCCUUUAAGUUGUUCGCCAUGAUACUUUUUCACUUUGUAGGAUACACUCGAGAGAGGAGUGGUAAAUAAGAAGCACUGACAGGAAUUUCACUAGGUGUCAUGAGGACAGGGCAACUUAGAGUUUCAAUGGACCUGGUGUUAAUAUAGGGCCACACAUUUGUACAUUCAUCAUUAGCAUGCAGUUUACUCUAUGCUUGGUCAAAGAGCAGAAAACAAUAUAUUUAAAGGGAACUUUGUAAGCUUCCUUAGAGAAUAUGAUUGUUUAAGUUGGUUACAAAUAGUCACUUCAAAUGCUGACGGAUUUCACCCAUGGCACAAGACCUCCUGGCAAUGUUAGGCCCCCUCCUGAGCCUAUAACUGCAGUCAUUGUUUUUUGUAGGUCGUUAGAAUGCUUUUGCUGCUGGUAAUUCCAGAGGCACACAUACAAAUGCUGGGAAGAUAUCUGUGACCCCUGAUUUUCUCAGCUGUCCUCGCUGGACACUUAUCUGCAGGGUGCACCAUCUCUGAGUGAAAAAUCUUCUAUCCUCACCAAGAGGAGAUAUUUUCUUUCCUACUCAGUAUAGCUCUAUUUGAGUCCCUGGGACUCCUAUGGGACUCUAAUGAUGUCAGAGCAGGGAGGAGCUUUCCGGCUAGGUUUUUGUCACAGGCAGCCUUUAACCCUAUUCUGAAGAUUCUUUCUGCUUCAUCUGUGUCUGGCAUAGUCCGAGAGUUAAUUUAAAGGAUUUCCCUUUGGUUUACCUUGAGAAAGUGGACUCUCUAGUCCACUUCUGGAGCCUUGAAAACCUGACACCUUUCCUCUAAUGAGGAGAAUCAUCUUUGACUACAGGAGAGCAACAGUGUAGAGCUCUGUCUAAAAGAUUCUGCUAAGGAAAUUUAAACAAAGCAAAUCAUGGACACCUCAGCUGCAGGACCCUGUUACUUAGGUUGGGAUGAUGGCUAUUAGGUCAGUGACUGUAAGUCUAUCCUAUAAACACAGAUUAUAAGAUUUAAACAGGGGCUUUGCCUCACACAACAAUGAUGUCAGCAGCCAAUGGUAGGAGCUGCCCUGCCAUUUCUGUUUUAUCAUUUAAAGAGACAGUAUCCAGACUUCUAGUCUACAUCUAUCACAUAGACAUAUUGAUUUCCUUUCUAGAGAAACACAUAUUUCUUCCCUCAUGCUGAAAAGAUAAAUCUGACAGAUUUAAUCAAAUGUAGUUGUUCACAACUAUAGAAAUGUGUAUAGUACCUCAUGCGAAAACAAAUCACAGUAGCUUCUAAAGGAAGAAUUCUGUGCACUGUAUUACUUAUAGACAAAAAUUGUACUACCACACAUGUCUGGAAAUAUGUGUACAAACAUACACACAGAGGCAGUGAUAAGAGCUAAGUGUAAUGUUAAUUUGAGGUACUAUGUUUAAAAUGCCAUCAUCAACAAAUGUUGGUUUAAUUAACAUUUCUACUGAAACUGGGCUCUUGGGCUCAGUUGGUCCUGUGCUUGCCAAACAUGCAUGGAUCCCUAGUUCAAUCCCCAGUACACAUAAAGCCAGUGUACUUGUACAUGCCGACAAUUGCAAUACUCAUAAGGUGGGAGCCAGAGACUAUAAGUUCAAAGUCAUCCUCAAUUAAUCAUUGAAUCAAAGCCUGGGAUAGAGGAGACACUCUCUAAAUCAAAGUAAAACAACUACCAUCACAAAACAAAACAAAAUUAUUAAAAACCACAACCUCAAAUUAUUUUCAACUUCUUUAUGAAUCUGAGACUCCGCAAUGUGUAAUGGUCCUAGAGGAUGAAUGUUUUCCCAAGAUGCAACCUGACUUUCAGGCAAACAUUAUAAAAAUGUGACUUGGGAUCCUGAAGUGUCUCCAUGCCUCUUGUCCAUCCAGCUCCUCUCCACAUUGGGUUUAGUCCUUGACUGUGAUUUGAACAAAUACGAUGCAGAGCAAUUUCAUUAUUUCCCUUAGCAACUCUGAGUGGCUCUUAUAGUUUUCAACACAUUUGACGAGAGCUAAGACCUUUUUCUUCAGAAUGUAGAUGGACAUUUAAGCUGAUGACAUUAAGAUGAUAUUCAAGAGUCUGUGGGACAGAGACUCAACAUAAAAAGGUUUUGGCGCUUUUUAUCUCUUUCAUUGAUUAGUUUGGUUCCCAUCAUUUUAGGCAGAGUUGGUCUUAAAUGGUAAUUUUCAAUAUCUGAGUCUUCUUUCCUAUGAAGUAUAGAUAUGAUUGCAUAUUCAGUAGAAUUUCCCAUUUUGGAUGCCUCAUUUUUGUAUCUGCUAGUAAUCUCUUGCUUUACGAUCUUGGCAUACAUCUUGUGCCAGCUCAUUUUAAAGGUAAAAUUUAAAAAAUUAAAACAAAACUGAAUCUGUAUCAUGAGUAGAAGUGUGCAAAAGCUACCCAAAGACUUUUUUAAGCAUUUUAUCAUUCAACAAGCUCCACGUUUUGCAUUUUAUUCUCCUAGUUUUGAUAUUAUAUUAAGAUAAGUGAUUUAAGAAGAACUAUUUAUUAGAAAGGAACAUGUUACAGAAAAAUAAUGCAUAUAUAGUGGCUUAUUGUGUGGGAAGAGUUAUAAUUGGUUUCAUUGGACAAAACCGGAAAACAAUUUCUCUUUUAAGAUGGGAGGUUUAGAAAUCUAACCACAGUAUGUUGACAUUGCAACACACACACACACACACACACACACACACACAUGUAUGUGCAAUAAUUAUGUCUUAUAAGCCAAUUAAAUUGUAAGAAAUUACUGAGGAUCCACCAAUCACUUUGGCUGGAAAUUGAGCAUAGGAACUCAGUACUUUUCUUCUGUUCCAUCUAGACAAGGUCCUUCUGAGAAGUACAGAGAACAGAAAGUGUGGAUGCAGCAUGGUUGAUCAGGAGGUGCCUUGCCAGAAUAGUUUUGUUCUUGUUGCUUGAUUAGGAGAGGCCGACGUUUAAAUUUUAAGAGAAAUAGAUGACAAGAUUAAGAUAAAAGUAAGUAUGCAAAAUGGAUGGACUCAUUCUUUUAGAUAAUAUGAUGUCUUCUUUAACCCCCAGUCAUAAACUCGGUAACUAAACAUUUGUCUCAAUUUCUGCCUGACUGGUAGAGUUUGAAAUUUUAGCCCCAAAUAAAAGGCCUUUCUGACCCAGAGAAUAUGUGAUUCUUUCCUAAAAGAAUGUUUGUGAUUCUCCAAACCAUGGCUGCAAGAUAAUGUGAAGAGGAGGCACAAAAUAGGGCUUAGAGGAUGAUUUAAACAAACUGCUCAGACAGUAAAUUAGCCCUUCCCCGCCCUGUGUGGAGUUCUCCAAGACAGAUGUAACCCAGAGUUGGGUUCUGAAACACUAAGUUUGCAUGCUUAGUAAGGUUCCUUCCUUCCUUCCUUUUUUCCUUUCUUCCUUCCUUCCUUCUUCCUUCCUUCUUUCCUUCCUUCCUCAUUUUUUGUUUACAAAAGAAGCAAUUCAUUUGUAGGGCAUUUCAAGCUGGCAAAUGGCCAACAAUAAUUUGUAUCACAGCCAGGUGCAAAAGGUAUUGAGAAACACACGGUACAAGAAUAUUCUGAAAAGAGGAAAACAAAAUGGAAAGUUAUUCAUCUUUCUAUAUGGCCUUUUUAAAAGCUACUUACAAUUUCAUGCUGUUUACAGGCAUUUUUGUCAAGUUUCUUUGUUGAGAAGGCAGAAGAGUGAGGCUUUCGUGAGAGAUUCACAAAGGGACUGAAGGGAUUCCGAGUGACAGUAGAGUUUAGCCGGUUGUUUGCAAGACUUGCUAACUAGGAGAGGGGAAGGCUGAUCUCCUUUGCUUCUCCAGAGAGGACAUUUCAAGAACCUUACUGAUGAUGAAAGCUGCCUCUGGUGUCAAAUAGUUUUUCCCCCUUUCUUCUUCAUUUUUCUCCUUCUUGACUGACCUACAAGAUGCCUCAUCUGAGUGAUUGGUGUUCUGGGACGAGGGAAGAGGCUGGCCACCCCGGUGCUUCCUUGGCAUGCUGGUUAAUGUUAUGAGGAAAGAAGAAUUCUCAAUUCUAGAAUAGCCACACAGAGUCCUUAACUGAUGGCAACAAGAUCAUGGCCCAGAAGAAUGUUCAUGAAUAGAGCAAACAGAAGGGCAUAGAGCAGAACAAUGGCACUGGGAGUCAGGAAGGUCAACUGAGAUGCAAAACGAGUGGAGAAGGCAUAGAGGGAGCUUCCCUUGGGUGGUCUAACCAGGACGAAGACCUCAUUAGGCACUCCCUGAUACAGGUAACAGCUCAUGGAUCUGACUCACAGACAUAGGAAUGGUAGUGCAGGGCAUAAAGUCAAAGAGAAAGGCUUUAUUUUGUAAUGUGUUAAUGUUCAUAAUAUCAGAGAAUUAGAUGGGCUGUUCAUAGAAGCAACUAGAAAGCACCCUUAAAUACAUCCUCUUGUCUCAGUAGGGAAUUAGUCAUCUAUCUGCUUCCUCACGGCAAUAUUUAUGACUCUUCUUACUAUUCAACCUUUGCUGGAAUUACAAAGCCAGACACACUCCAGACCCUACCAAGAUUAUAGUUAAAUGAAGUAUCCUGGGAGUGACACUUGUGCUGCUAAAUACCUGGGGACGUGACCAAAGGGGCACAGGCUCUUGAGUAUUUAUUUGUUUAUUUAUCUAAUUUAUUUAUUUAAUAUUAAGAGGACAAUGUCUCCCUGGAAGAACCCGCCAGGUGGGCACAAUGGAUUUUGUUUGUGUCUGGUCAUGCAUCCACAGCUCAUACGAUGCAAGUUAAAUCCAAUGCAUACUACGUUUCCCCCUUGCAUUGAAAUUGACAGAAGGCUCCAUGAAAUCCUGAAAAAUUAUUUCCUUAACCUAACACUUCCCAAAUAGGGUCAAGGUCUAGCUCCUUUGUGCAUGUAACAGGCUGGUCAUCUUGUUGAACAGUUUGGGAAACACCCUUUGCACUAAGUCCAGAGCCUCCACCACACUGGUCUCUUUUACCAGAACCCAGCUUUUGAACUCCACCUAUCAUCAUUACUUAUGCCAGCCCUCACUUUCGGACACAUCCUAGUUACUUUUCCUAUCAUUCCAACUUUUUACCCAACUCUGAUGCCACCUCCUUCUCGAAGCCAUGCCAACCACCUCAGAUCAGACUCAUGUUGCUAUUCUCCGGCCUUUGAAGACAAACUUUGGCUAAGUCACUCAGUGUUUAUUUAGUUAUCACCCAAUAAUUACUCUGUACUAUUUUGCUCUCUUCGCCAUUUGUGCUUAUAGCAUUACUCUUUCCACUUUUAGGGUGAUUGUAUUAGCUUCUAAAUCUUCUGAAGGGACUUUCAUGUCAAAAGGCAGAGUAUAUUCAUUUCUUUUCUUACUGUUGUGAUCAAAUAGCUGGCCUGAAACAACUUACCAUAGGUAGGCUUCAUCAGGCUUAACGGUUACAGCUUCCAGAUUUUUUCUGGCAAAUGUUAGGUUAAGCAAAUAACUCUUCAGGACUUCCUGAAGCCCUUAGUGGAAUUCGACCAGAGGAAGGGGUGUCAUUAAUCAUGGUAGAAGAACAUGGUGACAAGGGUGCUUGGUGUUGGUCACAUUGUAUCCUCAGUGAGGGAGUGAGGUUAGGCAAUAAAAUCUCAAAGCUUUCCUUCAGUGACUCAUGUAUUUCUAUGAGGUUCCAUGUCUGAAAGGCCUGCAAGCUUCUACACCAGGGCCACCAGCCAGGAUCAAGUGUUCCAGCUUCCUGGGGAUAUUUCACAUCCAAACCACAGCACAGAAUUGUGAAAGGACUCAGGAGAAGGCGCCAUCCAUCAAGUGCUUUUGGUUUUCAAAGAGACUGCCCUUGUCUUUAAAAAGGUGGGAAGUAUGUUAGAUGAUCCACCCGUCCAGACUGUAAUCAUAAAACCAGCCGACAAACAAAGAAUUAGUCCAAAGCAACAUGACUUCCCUGUUCAGAGCGACUGUUGGGUUAUAUGGGAAGAGGUGCCUGGUUCCUGCGGUGGCUGGUGUGUGCACCUGGUGUUCAUAGCCUGGAUGUCUCAAGCAUGCGGUCAUUGCUCAAGAGUCUGGGAAGACUCAGCUGUCUAGUGGGUCAGCUAAGUCUUCAACCCACAUGGUUGCCUAUGGUUAACAAAAGAGUCUAGAAAAAGAAACUUUGAUUCUUCUUAUAUUAUAUAUAUAUAAUAUACAUUUCAAUUAAGAAAAAUGAGUGUUAAUUCACUAAACAUUUAUUGAAUGCCUAUUAUCUGCUGCAAAGUUACUAACAGCUGUACAACAGUAAAAGAAAGACAGGUAUUGUGGUGGAGACAGGAAACAGGGAAACAAAUUAGCAGAUAAUAGCAGCAGUAUUUACUAAAGAGUUAAAUGCUAGUGGACAGUUAAAGCUGGGCAUGGGAAAGAAAGGGCAGGAGGGUCAGGGAAGGCUCCCCUUCUUAGGAUGACAUUUCAGCAGGAGGGUAAAGGUAAUGUGGGAGCUAUACGGGCUAAGAGUCACCUCAUAGGCAAGAGAGGAAAGUGGUUUGAAGCAAGCUAAAGAAAUAUACCAAGUGUUUUAUUUGUAAGGGAAUCAGGAGGCUAUAGUGAAUUCUAAGAGGACUACAUUAGUGUUUGCAAAGGAUCAUUCUGGGUAUGGGGGACGGAGAAUGUGUUGAAGAUCCCAAGAGAGGGGGGUGUUGGUAGAAGGACAUGGCUUAGGUCAUAGGAAAUGUAAGAUGCUAGUAGCUUGGAUCAGAACAGGAUUUCUUAGCACUUCGAUAUUUGGUGCUGGAUAAUUCUUAGUGUCAGGGAUUUCUCAUAGGAUCCAAAUCAGAGGUUCUCAAUCUGUGAGUCAUGUCCCUUUUGGGGGAGGUGUCAAAUGAUCCUUUCACAGGGGUCAUAUAUCAGAUAUCCUG
This 14456-nucleotide small RNA is filed under the name Rattus norvegicus (Norway rat). RNAcentral describes it as "uncharacterized LOC102553329". Lineage: Eukaryota; Metazoa; Chordata; Mammalia; Rodentia; Muridae. The record is from RNAcentral.